RNAcentral lists this ribosomal RNA (320 nucleotides) under uncultured Bacillota bacterium. RNAcentral describes it as "bacterial SSU rRNA". It matches the Rfam family "Bacterial small subunit ribosomal RNA", at positions 550 to 869 of the family's 1533-position model. Lineage: Bacteria; Bacillati; Bacillota. The record is from RNAcentral.
AUUAUUGGGCGUAAAGCGCGCGCAGGCGGAUCAGUCAGUCUGUCUUAAAAGUUCGGGGCUUAACCCCGUGAUGGGAUGGAAACUGCUGAUCUAGAGUAUCGGAGAGGAAAGUGGAAUUCCUAGUGUAGCGGUGAAAUGCGUAGAUAUUAGGAAGAACACCAGUGGCGAAGGCGACUUUCUGGACGAAAACUGACGCUGAGGCGCGAAAGCCAGGGGAGCGAACGGGAUUAGAUACCCCGGUAGUCCUGGCCGUAAACGAUGGGUACUAGGUGUAGGAGGUAUCGACCCCUUCUGUGCCGGAGUUAACGCAAUAAGUACCC